Molecule: ribosomal RNA, 810 nt
Filed under: uncultured bacterium
Lineage: Bacteria
Description: bacterial SSU rRNA
Rfam family: Bacterial small subunit ribosomal RNA
Source: RNAcentral
AGAGUUUGAUCAUGGCUCAGAACGAACGCUGGCGGCGUGGAUAAGACAUGCAAGUCGAGCGGGAAUUUUUUUGGUAGCAAUACCGAGAAAGUUCUAGCGGCGAACGGGUGCGUAACACGUGGGCAAUCUGCCUUAAAGUGGGGGAUAGCUCGGCGAAAGCCGAAUUAAUACCGCAUGCGAUUAGCGGAGACAUCUUCGCGAAAUCAAAGCCGGGGCAACCUGGCGCUUUUUGAGGAGCCCGCGGCCUAUCAGCUUGUUGGUGAGGUACCGGCUCACCAAGGCUAUGACGGGUAGCUGGUCUGAGAGGACGACCAGUCACACUGGAACUGAGACACGGUCCAGACACCUACGGGUGGCAGCAGUCGAGAAUUUUUGACAAUGGGGGAAACCCUGAUCGAGCGACGCCGCGUGGAGGAUGAAGGUCUUCGGGUUGUAAACUCCUGUCAUUUGGGAACAAUGCGCAUUUAUUAACUGUAGAUGCGUUGAUAGUACCAGAAGAGGAAGGGACGGCUAACUCUGUGCCAGCAGCCGCGGUAAUACAGAGGUCUCAAGCGUUGUUCGGAUUCAUUGGGCGUAAAGGGUGCGUAGGUGGCGCGCUAAGUCGGGUGUGAAAUCCCGGGGCUUAACCUCGGGACUGCAUUCGAUACUGGCGUGCUUGAGGACUGGAGAGGAGACUGGAAUUCAUGGUGUAGCAGUGAAAUGCGUAGAGAUCAUGAGGAAGACCAGUGGCGAAGGCGGGUCUCUGGACAGUUCCUGACACUGAGGCACGAAGGCCAGGGGAGCAAACGGGAUUAGAUACCCCCGUAGUCC